GAACCUGAUGAUCAAAUUAUCAUACAUCGUAUGUUGGAAUUACCGGCUGAAUCUAAUGAUCGAAAAAAACUGGCUGUUUCUGAUU
Colletotrichum orbiculare MAFF 240422 is the source of this 85-nucleotide non-coding RNA. The record is from Rfam. Lineage: Eukaryota; Fungi; Ascomycota; Sordariomycetes; Glomerellales; Glomerellaceae.